Molecule: ribosomal RNA, 498 nt
Filed under: uncultured Glomeromycotina
Lineage: Eukaryota; Fungi; Glomeromycota
Description: partial small subunit ribosomal RNA
Rfam family: Eukaryotic small subunit ribosomal RNA
Source: RNAcentral
CCAAUAGCGUAUAUUAAAGUUGUUGCAGUUAAAAAGCUCGUAGUUGAAUUUCGGGAUCAAAUUGUCGGUCGUGCCUCGGUACGCACUGGUAUUAUUGGUUCCUACCUUCUGAAGAACCGCGAUGUCAUUAAUUUGGUGUCGUGGGGAAUCAGGACUGUUACUUUGAAAAAAUUAGAGUGUUUAAAGCAGGCUUACGCUUGAAUACAUUAGCAUGGAAUAAUGAAAUAGGACGUUUGAUUCUAUUUUGUUGGUUUCUAGGAUUGACGUAAUGAUUAAUAGGGAUAGUUGGGGGCAUUAGUAUUCAAUUGUCAGAGGUGAAAUUCUUGGAUUUAUUGAAGACUAACUACUGCGAAAGCAUUUGCCAAGGAUGUUUUCAUUAAUCAAGAGCGAAAGUUAGGGGAUCGAAGACGAUCAGAUACCGUCGUAGUCUUAACCAUAAACUAUGCCGACUAGGGAUCGGAUGAUGUUAAUUUUUUAAUGACUCAUUCGGCGCCUUAC